GGGGUUCUUAUUUUUUGUCAGCGUCAGCCAUGUCAUAGGAAGUCCUGAGGGGAGCAGAUCGACCAAGAAUAUCGCAAGGUUUCCCCCAUGCGCUGGAAUGCGUUGAAAAUGCUUUUGACCACACCGGGGUUCGCAUCGUUUGGAGCGUAGAUUAGCACCAACCACUAAAAAGGGUCCUGGUGCGUUGUUUGGGGUGUGAUAUUAAUCAAAGUCACCCCGGAGUGUGUGCGGAGAACCAUAUGGCCAGGUGAGGUUCCCAGAGGGAGGUCGCCGGUUGAUUGUCGAUCAACAAAGUCGAUGCAUCAACCCCCACGAUCAGAGCAUCGCGGCACAUAAUGCGUGGCCGGUGUGAGCGGGCAGAACAAAACCGAGCCGUUCACGAACGAGGAUGAUCGUAUUGAGGGGGAAUGCUGAAGGCAGCAAUCGAUCGAUCAUUCAUAAUCAACCGAUGGUCGUAUCGCAGCUUGAAAUUGAUGGACCCCACCGUGCCGGUCCUUCGUCACCGGACGUUUUGGCCGGGGCCAUCUCGUUUGUUUGUCAUUUGUUAGCAGCAUGCAUGCAUCUUGGCUCCAUACCACUCUGCGGCGAGCGAGCAUCAACAGCAACAGCUACAACAUCACGGCAUGCACGAACAAUCGCGACUUUGCCUUUGCAUGACCUUUUCACGCCGGCACUGCCGAGAUGGUGUGGCGUCUCGAUGUGGGGUGUCCCAUUCUUCCCAACGUUUUCCCCCGCCCGCUUUGCCGUGAGUUUUUUUUUUUCGGUGCGAGAACGAAAGGGAAUACUCGGGCUGCCCUACACGGUUGGUACGGCGUUUAUUUGCGUUUUGCGAGCCGCGAGAGUCGAUUAAUUAACGGUUUUUAUGCAACCCGCUAGGAUUCCGCUGCCACGACACAAAACGUUGCACGCCGAUCUUCAUUUGCUCGGUUUUGUUUUGCUCAAACAUCCCAUUUGCCCCAUUUCCUGGCGGGGGCCUCUUAGCGCGACGACUGCCGGAGAUGGAUUUUCUUGCCGAGCACACGCACACACACACUCACAUGCGUCCCAGUCAGGGGAGGGAAACAGAGACCCGCCAGCAGGGGAAUGGCGAAGCAUGCAACGACGUUCCUGCGAGUGAGAUCGCACUUUUGGCGACACCGGAAUGCUUAAGUGGUGCCAUAGCGUAACGCGUUCGGUUGCCCAGCGUGCACCAGGGAAGCAAAAAAGCGCAAGGUCGCGUCCCGCUGAUCCGUGUGCACCAUCUUCAUCGUCACCAUCCCAGGAAAGAGCCAGAGCGGGCCCCGGGCCUUCACAACACGCCAACUCGUUUGCGGUUCAUUCACAGAGCGUAUGGUGUACGUGGCCCGAAAGAUCGGCCCGAAAACAGCUGCGCGCGCGGACGAGAGUGCGGACGAGAGCGCGAAAGUCAUUAAAAUGUGCGGCCCGUUUAACGAUAGGCGACCGACCGGGCGUACCGUACCGAAUCAUCCAUUCCCUUCAGACACGAAACACACACACACACCCGAGCGAAGAUCAUUCAACAUUUUAUGUCAUUCCUCAAAUCGACUGUUCCCUGAGAGCGCGCUCUUGAUUCCGCCAUCAGCCCACCAUUAUCGUACGGUGUGGAUCGCAUUUCGUGUGUGCACCCUUGUCCACACACCGGCAAACACACACACGCACACACCGGAGGAAAACCAUAACCGGUCCGGGAAAAUCUUCGGUGCACGCGAGCGAGAGACAGAGACCAGAAGAGCCCAGAUCAGGCAGCGGGUGAUAAAACCGCGAGCGUGCGCGCGGCAUUCGGACAACUUUAUGGCCGUUUUAAGAGGCUGUAAAAAAAACGAAGGUGGCAAGGCGUGUGCUAUCUGCCCGAUUCCCGUGUCGCGAUGCCUUAACGCCGAGAUUCUGGGACUCGUUUCGGUUGACGAACGGGGCGAUCCUUGGGAGUCGUCUGCCGUGCCGUGCCUUGCCGGUGGAAAAGUCGUGCUUGUUGAUAUCUCCCGCUUACUUCAGACACCGCACUUCAGGACAUUCCCACACCCCCAGAAUAUCGCCGACUUCGACGACUCGUUUGUUGGAUGCUGUACGAAUGCUGUGGUUCUUGCUUGCCGUGUGUGAUUCUAGUGCCGUAUCUUAUGUCCUCAUCCUUAAGCGUACGAGUGUGUGAGUUCACAAUGACCGAUGGGUUUCGAUACUCAAGAGGGCUCGUUUUACACUCGUAAUGCGGGGUAGAAUACGAACAAGAAUGAGGUGGGAAUAUUGAUUGAUUCUAGGUCAUUUCUAGUCUGACCGUAAUCAAUCCCUUGGGAUCGAGAGGGCAGCAUGGAUAUCUCUCUCUCCCCCUCCCUGCUUCGUACUGUCCGGUCAUUACUGAUGUGAUGUUAUUUUUUUAUUUAUUUCGUUCUUUCCCGCAAGAACUUGCUCUGGGUUGCGAGCUGCGUCAUCAGCAUCCCACGGUAAGCGCCCACACUCGGGAAACACUCACCGAACGCAUGUUGACCCUCUAAUAAAGAGACGGACCAGCAAAUAAAGUUAAACCCAAUUUUACCUUCCACUUUGAAGAACUACAGACACAUAGCAAAAAACAAAAUCGAGAUCUCCAGACGACACUCAUCGAAACCGCAAGGUUGGACAUCUCGCCGUCAGUGCUUUGCAACACGAUCUCGUGCUCCGCUCUUUCGGGCGGGUGUAUGCUGCCUGUCUUUUAUAUACUUUAAAAAAGACUUUCAUUACGCUGGACGGAUGGGUGGAUGAGCUGUCCGUUGGAAGGUGUUUACCACGGGCACAACCCACAUCAUUUAAGGAACAGCAGUAGCCGGCGCGGGGACGACCGACGAAAAUCGAUAGGACAAUGUGUGCAUUGUUUAACCGCCGUCUGGACUAUUAUUGUGUGUUACGCGCAUUUCGCGAAUUCCAUGGACACACAUUCCAGCCGAGGGAGGGUGGCCAGUACAACAAAAAAGUGGAUCAUGAUGUUGCGCAUCAAGAUAACGGUGGGAAGGAGGCUUCUUGCUGCCAGAAGUGUGUGUGUGUGUGUGACGUUUCUUAUGCUUGCACCAACUUUUUCGGGGCGGUUUUUUGGUCCCUUACGAACGCGGCCAAGUCUAAACGGCACGACUGCGUGACUGGGCAAAAAUGUAAAUUUUGCUGAUGACCCAUCCGUUUCAGCCCAACGUGUCCCCUUCAAUGUUUGGCAGUUGGAGUUUUGGUAGGGUUUUUUUUAUGGAGUCCAGUGCAAUUGUAAUCUUUACAUUAAACACUUGACAUUGAACCUAUAGACCUCCGAAGAUAUUUCCUUUCCUUGGAAACCUCACAACAAACCUUUCCUCGAAGGCUGACUCAUUUAGCGCAUUUGUUGGCAGGUGUCCAAACAAAACAAAUCAAAAUUAAUCACCUAUCGGUUUUUGGGCCGUUCGCGUUCGCUCGGCUCGGGCUCGUUCCCAUUUUUCAAACGACUCAUCGAAUGUUUCGCCCGGGUCAAGCAUCCGAAUGACCGCAGCACAAUAAUUAUAGGGCUAGUGUGGUGCACUUAAGUUAUUUUCAAUCAAAAGAUACCAUCAAAUUUCGUUUUCAUUUUGAUCCCGCUUGUACAGCUUCAUCUGCAUAUUUAUAUGCCCGUGUGAAACGGAGCAUUCGUCCGAAUGUUGCAGGUCCCCUGGAUUUUUUUUAACGUCCCAAGCAGACUGCAGUGGACGAAUCUGACUGCACCGAUCAGAAUUAUGAUGUGCCUGUAUCAGGUUGUCGAUUCAAUGCCCCAAUGUCGAACCCAAAGCCGAGGACCCAAUGUCUGAGGUUCUAAACACAUUAAAAUAAAUGUAUUCUCUUCGGUGUCUCUGCCCCGAUCGUUCGAUUCUGAUCCACCCACCCCGGUUUUCGAGUACGUUCGUGUGGACCGUUUGCCACCACAAGCAAAAAAAAAUAAAGGCAGCACAAAAACGCCCGAGUCGCAAAGCAUGGAAAGGUGGAACGGAAAACGGAACACCAAAUAAAAUUUCUUUUCCAGAUGACACUAAUCUGAUUUUCUUCUUGAUGCGUUUCUUCAAGCUUAACACACAUUCUUCGCCUCGGUUUGUUGAUCUUCGCUGCGGGCUUUUUGGAGUUAUUCUGUGGAGUGUUGCCGUUGUGUGUUGGUUUGGAAUCUUAUUUUAUUCGUUCCCCCGGUGCACGGUUGUUGUUGUGAUUGUUGUUGAGUUGUUUUUUUUUUGUUCUUGUUACACCGCCGGUUCUUGCUUGUUAGUGCGCGCGCAUAUCAGCUCUGUUGGUUAGAAAUUUUGGACCUCGCAGGCCGCGCCAGAACAAAACGGGCACCGUGCGCAACAGACGCACAGAACUUAUAAUGCCCUUGGUAACCCUCAGCCACCGUGAGCCAUUUGCACAGUACGACAGAGGGUUUUGGGAUGCGUUUGGAUCGAGGGAUUUUUUUUUUCGCCUCCCGAUGUUGUUGUUCGUUCUUUGUUGCUAAAAAGAAAGAAGAAAAAAAAGUUCGCUCGUUCCUUGCCGGGACGGUUAUUUUAAUGCCGUUUUGGUUUGGUUUUGUUGGUCGGUUAAAGUGAUCAAUGCGAAUUGUGUGUGUGUGUGUGUGUGUGUGUGUGUGUGUGUGUGUGUGUGUGUGAUGCUGUUCGAGGUUCGAGCACCAAGGGAAGUGCUGGAUGGAUGGGACACAUAAAAACGGCAGCACAAAACUCAGCAGCAAAAAUGAAAUAAGAGAUAAAAAUAGAACGAACUUAACGCUUCAACGCAACAAGAAUAACGAGAGGAGCAGGAAUAACCAACCAACCAACAACAAAAAAAAACUGCACACUGAUAGUAGUAGAAGCAAGACGGAAAAGAGGAACGAUGCUUUAAAAGAGCAAAAUUCGGCAUGAAAAAUCGGAUGGAUGUAAGCUGCGUGAAAUUUAAGAAGAUUUCGAAGGUUAUUUCCAACAGCAAACGCACGUUGAAGUGAUCACUAGCCAGAAGUUCUUUUGGUUGUGCAUUUGGUUUAAGGUCGUGCUGUUGCGGUAAAAUGGAGCUCAGAAAGUGCAUCAUUCAGUUUUUGGUUCUGAACUGUCCUUCAGCUUGACGCUCUUGGAAUGGAAUUCUAAUAUAAUACCACAUCGCUAGUGCUGGUGUGUGAAUGUCUGCAUCUUCUAAUGAUUUGUAGUGCCGACGAGAGCUAGUGUGUUUCCUGCGUGGCAUUACCCAUUCGGCAAAGAGGUCACACCGAAACGCUCCAAGACUGUGGCUGGAUCAAAUUCCACCCCGAACCAGAUGAUCAUUUGAACAGUAAAGCCCUCCGGGGCAAAUACUAUAGCGAGACACACACACACACGCACACGAAAGCAUAUGUUUUCUGGCUGCUGAACAACAUUCAGCACCGAUGUUAGGAACCGAGUACCUCACCCGAAGGAUUCUGGUCUGGUAAUGGUUCGGUAUCUGUGCUCAAUGUGAUCCUCGAUCCUCGAACAACGAGCGGCGGAAGGGGAACGGGGGUGCAAGAUGAACGGGCACGCUCGUGACCCGGGAUAUGUGGCCCCGGGGGAUCGGGUCCAAUGCCGAGGGAUGGGUAGGGAGUCGAAAGAAUCUAGCAUCUAGCGUGGCUAUAGAGUGCCCGCAAAUGGGACGAAUGCGAGUAGAAAAUGAAACAGGCAGACAACAACAAAAAAACCUUUAAACCCUACAGCAGCCAGCGUGUACGCAUAUCACCGUAGGCACCCGAACACUUUCCAUUAUGGAAACGUAGUGAAGCAAAAAUAACCCCCUGAAGAGAGUGCACCGUAGGGGCAAGAGCAAAAGAAACAGGGCACACAACACCUUCCUGAAAAGGUCUGAAUUCCGUCCGAUCGUGACGGGUGGGAACGGUUGGGAAUGGUACGAGGUGCGGUAGGCAUUUGCCCGGGCACCAGAGCACACACAAUGGGAAACCGAGGAAAAUAUCGAAGAUUACAAUUAUGUGAUCAAAAGAGACUUUCAAUUUUCCUCUUAUUCAUUAUGUCCGAUCACCGUGCCCGGAGUGUACCCUUUCUCGCGUUACCGCGAUGUUCUGCUUUCUUUAUCCAGAGUUCUGGCUCGCUGGGAGGGAUCGCAUUGCUCUCGGUGUCUCUAGUGGAAGACUCUAGUUGGAGUUUUCAGGUUCCGUUGGGUUCUGCCUUCCUUUUCCUCCCGUGCAAUUUGCUCCGACCUUGGGUCUUGCUUUGUCGUGGUCUAUCGUUCAAGUGAUGUUGUUGUUCCCCCGUUGAUGAUUUCUACCUGAGCUUAGCCUGAUGAAGAUUCACAGUUUUCUUUGGAAGGGUUUUUCAGCAUAGCUUCGUUCUACAAAACGCAAACUUCACCAAAUCAACGUAUCGAACUUCAGCAUAUGAUCCAGUAAGUUCGGCCUUCGAUCUCCUACCCCUAUACCUUCCCUUUAUUCCCUCCAAUGAAAGCUAUUCCCUACGCUAGCACGACCCUUCGACAACGAUCCCGCAAGGGGGUUCCAAUUUGUAAAAGAAAGCCUCUAUAACCCUCUCUCCCGAUCCCGGCAGGCAUCAUGUGCAAACAGCCAAAUGACAGACGCAGUGGUUCCCGCAGCGUCCCCGUUUCGUUCUGCCCGCCCCUUUCACUUUCCAGUUCCAACCACCCCGCAGGGGUCCCUCCAUCACACUGCUGGGUGUUAGCAGCAUUUGGGACCUCCUUAAGGUUUUGCCUUCCGAAGACACUCGUUUUCUUUGUCAGGAUGGGUCUAGGUUUGGCACUAUGUGUGUGUGUUUUUUGUGCCUUCUCCUUUAAGCAGACCUUCUUGGACCUGCGCGCGAGCAUUAGGCCUCAUACAAUCGAACACAGAAAAAAAAACCAGGGCACCAACAAUCCACGGGGUGACAUUGGUUGUGCGUACGGGAUUUUUUUUUUUUGUUUGGGAUGUUCGUGUGCCGGAUAGCCUUUUUAGGAAUUUCAUUAUUUUCAUGCUCUUGGGUUUGGUUUUCGUUUCGUUUCAUUUAAGUUUUUGUUACAGUUUUUUGUUGUUGUUGUUUUUGUAUUUUGUCUGUCUUCCUUAGCGUUCGAACUAGACGAAGAUCGCCCAACAACCAACAAAAAAACAAGAUCUCCUUAGCGAUCCCUUGCUGGUAGGAUUUUUGUUUUGCUUCGCUUCUUAUUAAAGCAGUUGAAGCUGGAGCGAACCGUUUUAGUUUUUUUUUUUCACGGACCCCUCGUUUCCUUAUGCCAGCAGCCGGAGAAUGUUGGGAACAUCCUUCCACGGCCCUCCUAGUCGGAUCUCGAUUGCUUUUUUGGCUGCCACAGGGCGAGACGCGUUUGCAAAUGCAACAAACCGAGGGCCCUUUGAUUGCGCAGCCCUCCUCUGGAUUUGGCACAAAACUGAACAAACGAACCACUAACGAACUCUGACGAGCUUUGAGCAACGGAAAAUGCUCGCUUUGCUUAUGCUCCCUCCAUUAUCUCUUUCACACACAGCGUACGCAAGCAAAAUUGUGAAAAAAGCCAUUAUACUUUGUAACUUUAGAGAGCAAAAAAAAAACUUAGAAUUGCACAAAACGAGAAGACGGGUGUGUUGCCGUCGGGUCUAGAACGCUUUUGUGUCACUUCUCUGGACCUGGAUUUUUUUGUUGUUGGUCGUACUCUGUUGGCUUUAUUGUCCUGCAAAACGGUUAAGGGGUUUCACUGCAUUCCCUGCCACUUCCAAGCGGAAGUGCACAGCGAGCCCAGCGGUGGUCCUGAUGCCUGCCAAGAGGCACACACGAUCACACAUUUGAUUUAAUUAUUGUGUAAUCGUUUCUUUGUGCGUUGAUGCAAUCUCGUUUGAACAAAAGCACUCGCUCUCUCCAUGCAUUCGAUGGCCUCUUCGAUGCCAGCAUAGAAUUGUGCCGAUUUCCAACCCCUUUUCGAAGUGAAAUACCCCCCGAUCAAGAAAUGCUUUCUCGUUACGCUUUUACUUGUACGAAGAUGUGGACGGCUGACAAUGUCCCGCACUCCGAGGCAAGUUGGACCUCGAACAAUCCGAUCGUUAAAUGCUGUGAACGAAAAGCUAAAGGAGUGUCAAAAAUCAAUUAUCACCGCAUGAAACCUGGCAAAGAUCCGGGUGUGGUGUCCAGCUCGGCGACACAGUCGGACUCUACGCUGUUUGAGCUCAGGAUCGGGCAUCCACAAAGGAAUCUCUGCCAGGAACGAGCAAAGGAAAACAAAGGCAACCAAAACAUUCGACCGUUCGUCACUUGGUCAACCGUAUUCCCUUAAGGUUUUUCGGGAAGUGUUGUCUGUCCUUUCGCUUUCGAAGAUCCAGUAGAGAAGAUCUCCUGAGGCAUGUUUUCGGGAUUGGGAAAUCUAAUCGCUGCGCACAGUACCAUGAAUUCGAUCUUCGCUUUUGGUGAUCAUUUUUCCUGCGAAAAGGCAAGAAUUGUGUUAGGGACCUGUCGUUCGGGACUUUGAGCGAUGUUUUCUCGGGACAUUCCUUCAAAUGCAGGGAUGUUCUUCCAGGAACUCCGGAUACCCGCUCUCGCCAGGAGAAUGUUUUGCAUCGGACUUUGGAAGGCUCACACUAGGCUUACUAGCGACGAUGAAAAUCCCUAACUGGAGGAGGUCAUCUUCGUUUGUCAGAUGGAUUGCUUAUACUUCAGACAGUUGCAUUCCCAGGACAUUUUCGAGGGAUUACUGAGCAAGCUGAGGUGUUGGAAUCGAAUGAAAUAAAAAAAAGGCAUCCUCACACACACAGACUCUACCGUGUAUCAAAAAACCAUUGCUGCCAUAUGCUGUUCCUGCCAGCUAUUGUUACCCUCCGAAAAACCUCGGACAACAGAUUUCGAUGGAUUUAGCUCCGUUGUUUUUUGCUGUUGUUGUUUGGCAUCGAAAUGCAGUCGACAAUUGCAGAUGCAGAUUGCAGCAACCACACACACACACACACAUACUGGCCAUACGGCAGCAGGUAAAUGUGGCAGGUCAAAGUCUCCGCCCGGCUUCCCAGAGUCCCGUCAAGUUAGCAACAGUUCCAUCAGUUCCGCGUGCAAACCGACCGGAUGGUCAAUGUGCUAUUUGGUACGGGGUUCAGCGUCGUCGUGGUCGUUUUGUUUUUUGCUUUGUUUGACUGGGUCGCAGUUUCUUUCUUAUAUCUGUGCCCGUCUGCGUCCGUCUGCUGCAUCUUGCAUGGAAAUGUGCACUUUCAGCUUCAUUUGUAUUCGCCAAGGACGACCACACGGUGCACGGUGCUGUGGUGGGAUUUUUUUCCGGUUUCUGCUCGCUCUCGGUGUUGCCGGUUGUCGAUGAGGUCAUCGAAAUCGAAUUCGUCACGCAUACGCCAUAUGUGUGUGUCGCUGCGUUCGGAAGAUCCGUAUGCACUCCGGGAAGCAGCAGCAGCAGAAGAUGAGGUAGAAGAACAAAGGGGUCAUUGAUUGUAAAUCGGUUCUUUUUUGCUCUUCUUCAUCGUAUGAAAACGCAUUGCACCAAAUGACAUUUAAUUGGAUUUUAUUCCGUUACACUCCGGGCUUAAGUAGCGUACACUGCUUCGAACGGGGAGACGUCUGCGAUCGAGGGUAAAGAUUUAUGUCUAACCUGAAACCGUUUCCGGAAUCGUACCAACAACACACGCACACGUUAAGGAGGUAAAUUAAUCACUUGGCCACAAAUAAUUAGUGCCG
Anopheles stephensi (Asian malaria mosquito) is the source of this 9581-nucleotide long non-coding RNA. RefSeq lists it as uncharacterized. The record is from RefSeq and is a predicted model, not a curated record. NCBI's taxonomy places the organism in Eukaryota, Metazoa, Arthropoda, Insecta, Diptera, Culicidae. The transcript has 2 exons.